GAUGAACGCUGGCGGCGUGCCUAAUACAUGCAAGUCGAGCGAACGGACGAGAAGCUUGCUUCUCUGAUGUUAGCGGCGGACGGGUGAGUAACACGUGGAUAACCUACCUAUAAGACUGGGAUAACUUCGGGAAACCGGAGCUAAUACCGGAUAAUAUUUUGAACCGCAUGGUUCAAAAGUGAAAGACGGUCUUGCUGUCACUUAUAGAUGGAUCCGCGCUGCAUUAGCUAGUUGGUAAGGUAACGGCUUACCAAGGCAACGAUGCAUAGCCGACCUGAGAGGGUGAUCGGCCACACUGGAACUGAGACACGGUCCAGACUCCUACGGGAGGCAGCAGUAGGGAAUCUUCCGCAAUGGGCGAAAGCCUGACGGAGCAACGCCGCGUGAGUGAUGAAGGUCUUCGGAUCGUAAAACUCUGUUAUUAGGGAAGAACAUAUGUGUAAGUAACUGUGCACGUCUUGACGGUACCUAGUCAGAAAGCCACGGCUAACUACGUGCCAGCAGCCGCGGUAAUACGUAGGUGGCAAGCGUUAUCCGGAAUUAUUGGGCGUAAAGCGCGCGUAGGCGGUUUUUUAAGUCUGAUGUGAAAGCCCACGGCUCAACCGUGGAGGGUCAUUGGAAACUGGAAAACUUGAGUGCAGAAGAGGAAAGUGGAAUUCCAUGUGUAGCGGUGAAAUGCGCAGAGAUAUGGAGGAACACCAGUGGCGAAGGCGACUUUCUGGUCUGUAACUGACGCUGAUGUGCGAAAGCGUGGGGAUCAAACAGGAUUAGAUACCCUGGUAGUCCACGCCGUAAACGAUGAGUGCUAAGUGUUAGGGGGUUUCCGCCCCUUAGUGCUGCAGCUAACGCAUUAAGCACUCCGCCUGGGGAGUACGACCGCAAGGUUGAAACUCAAAGGAAUUGACGGGGACCCGCACAAGCGGUGGAGCAUGUGGUUUAAUUCGAAGCAACGCGAAGAACCUUACCAAAUCUUGACAUCCUUUGACAACUCUAGAGAUAGAGCUUUCCCCUUCGGGGGACAAAGUGACAGGUGGUGCAUGGUUGUCGUCAGCUCGUGUCGUGAGAUGUUGGGUUAAGUCCCGCAACGAGCGCAACCCUUAAGCUUAGUUGCCAUCAUUAAGUUGGGCACUCUAAGUUGACUGCCGGUGACAAACCGGAGGAAGGUGGGGAUGACGUCAAAUCAUCAUGCCCCUUAUGAUUUGGGCUACACACGUGCUACAAUGGACAAUACAAAGGGCAGCGAAACCGCGAGGUCAAGCAAAUCCCAUAAAGUUGUUCUCAGUUCGGAUUGUAGUCUGCAACUCGACUACAUGAAGCUGGAAUCGCUAGUAAUCGUAGAUCAGCAUGCUACGGUGAAUACGUUCCCGGGUCU
RNAcentral lists this ribosomal RNA (1372 nucleotides) under uncultured bacterium. RNAcentral's name for it is "bacterial SSU rRNA". It matches the Rfam family "Bacterial small subunit ribosomal RNA", at positions 28 to 1381 of the family's 1533-position model. The record is from RNAcentral.